GCUCCGAGAUAGCUCAGUUGGUUUGAGCGUGGCACUGAUAACGCCAAGUUCACAGGUUUGAUCCCUGCAUGGGGCA
Podarcis lilfordi (Lilford's wall lizard) is the source of this 76-nucleotide non-coding RNA. NCBI's taxonomy places the organism in Eukaryota, Metazoa, Chordata, Lepidosauria, Squamata, Lacertidae. The record is from the annotation of a GenBank genome assembly.